Jatropha curcas is the source of this 1664-nucleotide non-coding RNA. The record is from RefSeq and is a predicted model, not a curated record. NCBI's taxonomy places the organism in Eukaryota, Viridiplantae, Streptophyta, Magnoliopsida, Malpighiales, Euphorbiaceae.
AGAGGUCCCUCCUUCCUAAUUUCCAUCAAUUAAUAAUUAUUUCAUUUCCAUUCCAGUUACACGGAACAACAAUUACACUAAAAAGAAACCUUCCAUGAAUUUAAUUAAAACUAGUAAAUAAAUAUAGUAUAAUUACCCAAUAAUACCAAUAAUGCUUCUACGUUUCCUUUCUCUCUACACACGGCUUCUCCCUCUCCCUUUUCCACUCUCCUUCUCCUCUGCCAUUUCCUGUGUAGGCUUGUGUUGUUGAAGGAGACAAAUGAGUUCUCAAAAUUCAAUUUCUAAAGUCAAAAGGACUGUUAAUUUUCGAUUAUGCAAUGUGUCCAGGUAUAUUGUUUCUUAAUUUUUUUAUUUUAUCUUCUUGCUGUGAUAGUUUAUGCUUUUUAUUUAUUUGAUGAUUUUGUACUCAGUUACAAAACUGAGUUGCUAGAGAUUCGCUCUGAUGACCCUAAAUUGCAUGUUCUCUUUAUCCCUGGAAAUCCUGGUGUUGUUUCAUUUUAUAAGGAUUUUUUGGAAUCAUUAUACGAGUUGCUAGGAGGAACUGCAUCUGUCACAGGCUUGUUUUGCAUUGGUCAACAGCUAUUGGACACAUAUCUCACACAAAAAAAGAACUGGGAGCGUGGAAGGCUGUUCUCAUUACAACAACAAAUUGAUCACAAGGUGGAUUUCAUUGAACAAGAGCGGAAAACUAUUGGGGUUCCUAUAGUGCUGGUUGGGCAUUCUAUUGGUUCCUACAUAUCCAUUGAAACGCUAAGGAGGUCUCCUGAGGUUAAGUAUUUUAUAGGACUAUAUCCGUUUCUAAUGCUGAAUCCUUUAUCAGAGAAGCAGACUAAGAUAAAGAAACUUGCAGAGUCCUCUAUUCGGUCGGAUUUGCUUAGUUUCAGUAUAGCAUCAUUGGGUGUGUUACCUAGGUGUAUUUCAAGAAUAAUUGUGUCAAAUUCUAUUGGAAAAUCAUGGUCUGCUACUGCUGUUGAUGCUGCUUGUAGUCAUUUGCUACAGUACCAUUCGUUUCGGAAUAUGAUCUUUAUGGCACUGACAGAAUUCAGAAAGGUACACAUAUGCUGCUUCUACUCCAGCAAAAGAUUUUAGCGGACAGCAAUGUUUGCAUGAGAUUGCUGAAGUAUGUCUGUCAUCCUGUCUUAACGGUUGUUCUUUCAUGUUAGCUUUCUGAAACACCAAAUUGGGAAUUCAUGAGAGAAAAUCAGAGUAAAAUGGCAUUCUUGUUUGGUGUCGAUGAUCACUGGGGUCCACUGGAGAUGUUUGAAGAGAUUGCAAAGCAGGUACCUGGCAUUACUCUAUCGAUCGAAAGGGAAGGCCAUACUCAUAGUUUCUGUUGCACUGAGGCAGGUUCAUCAUGGGUGGCACAGCACGUAGCAAACUUGAUAAAGAAUCAAAUAUUAGGCUCAUGCUAGUAUGCUGUUUAUUUUGCCAUAUUUUUUAUAAUUCAAGUGAUUGAUCUCAUGAUUGCUGGGCAAUUAGGUCGCAGAUGAUCAUUAUCUCCCAUUCUUUUAUAUUAACAUUUUAAAAUAAACCAUCUUCCUGUAAGUUAGUAUUGCAUUUUGGUUUGUAUUUUCUGGAAAUUGAAUCCAUUUGUAUAUUUCUGUGUAGGAUUGUGGAAAUAUGGAUGUUUUUUAUUUAUUUAUUUGUUAUCUUGAACAUGGAAA